GUCUUUUUGAGUAUAAUUUAAAGUCUGAUCUGCCCAUUGAUUAAUUAAAAGGCCGCAGUAUUUUGACUGUGCAAAGGUAGCAUAAUAAUUAGUUUUUUAAUUGAAAGCUAGCAUGAAUGAUUUGAUAAGAAAAAUGCUGUCUAUUUAUUAAAUAUUAUAAUUUUAUUUUUUAGUUAAAAAGCUAAAAUAUUGUUUAAAGACGAGAAGACCCUAUAGAGUUUUAUAUAUUUUUUUAAUAUUAUACUUUAUUUUGUUUUUAUUAAUAUACUAUAUUUUGUUGGGGUGAUAGAAAAGUUUGUUUAACCUUUUUACUAUAAUAACUAUUAUAAUUGAUUGUUUGAUCCUUUAUGAGAUUAAUAGAUUAAAUUACCUUAGGGAUAACAGCGUAAUUUUUUUGGAGAGUUCAUAUCUAUAAAAAAGUUUGCGACCUCGAUGUUGGAUUAAGAUUAAUUUUUAAUGUAGAAGUUAAAAUUUUAAGUCUGUUCGACUUUUAAAAUCUUACAUGAUC
Molecule: ribosomal RNA, 508 nt
Filed under: Anaclasiger sp. JP-2014
Lineage: Eukaryota; Metazoa; Arthropoda; Insecta; Coleoptera; Staphylinidae
Description: partial 16S ribosomal RNA
Rfam family: Bacterial large subunit ribosomal RNA (bases 377-508)
Source: RNAcentral